RNAcentral lists this ribosomal RNA (2903 nucleotides) under Prevotella denticola. RNAcentral's name for it is "bacterial LSU rRNA". It matches the Rfam family "Bacterial large subunit ribosomal RNA". The record is from RNAcentral. Lineage: Bacteria; Pseudomonadati; Bacteroidota; Bacteroidia; Bacteroidales; Prevotellaceae.
AAGAAAGCAGGAAAGGGCGCAUGGCGGAUGCCUUGGCUCACGGAGGCGAUGAAGGACGUGAUAAGCUGCGAUAAGCCCCGGGUAGGUGCAAAUGACCUUUGAUCCGGGGAUUUCCGAAUGGGACAACCCGGCAGGCUGGAGGCCUGUCAUCACUACGGAUGUAGUGAGGCGAACGGAGGGAACUGAAACAUCUUAGUACCUCCAGGAAGAGAAAAUAAACUAAUGAUUCCCCCAGUAGCGGCGAGCGAACGGGGAAGAGCCCAAACCGGCGGCGUAGCGAUGCGCCUCCGGGGUUGUAGGACCACGCAGUCGUACUUGGAUUGUGAGAAGAAUGUUCUGGAAAGAACAAUCAUAGAGGGUGAUAAUCCCGUAUUCGAAGCAUGACGAGACGUAGUGGUAUCCUGAGUAACGCGGAACACGUGAAAUUCUGCGCGAAUCCGCCGGGACCAUCCGGCAAGGCUAAAUACUCCCGUGAGACCGAUAGUGUACGAGUACCGUGAGGGAAAGGUGAAAAGCACUCCGACGAGGAGAGUGAAAGAGUUCCUGAAACCAUGCGCCUACAAGCGGUCGGAGCCGCGCGAGCGGUGACGGCGUGCCUUUUGCAUAAUGAACCUACGAGUUGCCGUGUCCGGCGAGGAUAAGCGUCACGAGACGCGCAUCCGCAGUGAAAGCGAGCCUGAACAGGGCGUCGAGUCAGACGGGGCAGACGCGAAACCAAGUGAUCUACACUUGCCCAGGCUGAAGUCCGGGUAACACCGGAUGGAGGGCCGCACGGAUAAGCGUUGAAAAGCUUCCCGAUGAGGCGAGUGUAGGAGUGAAAGGCCAAUCAAACUUGGAGAUAGCUCGUACUCCCCGAAAGGCAUUUAGGUGCCGCGUGCGGCGUUGUCCGCGAGAGGUAGAGCGACCGGUAGGUCGAGAGGGCUUCACCGCCUGUCGAGACCUGACGAACUCCGAAUGCUCUCGGAUCGGAGCCGUGCAGUAAGGGGGCGGGUGCUAAGGUCCGUCCCCGAGAGGAGAAGAAUCCAGACCGCCGUCUAAGGUCCCGGAAUUCUGCCUGAGUUAGUCUAACGAAGUCCGGUCCCCGUGACAGCUAGGAUGUUGGCUUGGAAGCAGCCAUUCAUUCAAAGAGUGCGUAACAGCUCACUAGUCGAGGGUCCGGGCGUGGAUAAUAAUCGGGUAUAAGGCAGAUACCGAAGGCGCGGGAUAGCAAUGUAUAUUGAAAGUAUCGGUAGGGGAGCAUUCCAUCGGCGUUGAAUGGUGAGGGAAACUGAUCCUGGAGCUUAUGGAAAAGCAAAUGUAGGUAUGAGUAACGAUAAAAAGGGUGAGAUUCCCUUUCGCCGAAAGACCGAGGUUUCCCGGGCGAUGCCAAUCAGCCCGGGGUUAGUCGGGUCCUAAGUCUCAGCCGAAUGGCGAAGGCGAUGGCAGAUGCGGUUAAUAUUCCGCAACUCGCAUGUACAGUGAUGUGGAGACGGAGCAGUGACACUGCCGCGCCCUGACGGAACAGGGCGUUUAAGUGCGUAGGCUUUGAGGGAGGCAGGCAAAUCCGCCUUCCGAGCUGAACCAUGAAAGUACAGGUGAUCCUCCGGGAUGACCUGAGUGCAGGUAACCAUACUUCCGAGAAAAUCCGCUAAACUUAAUGUGCAUGCGACCCGUACCGCAAACGGACACACGUGGUCGGGUAGAACAUACUGAGGCGUUGAGAGAUUCAUGGUUAAGGAACUAGGCAAAUUGACCCCGUAACUUCGGGAUAAGGGGUCCUCAUGGCGACAUGAGGCGCAGAGAAUAGGUCCAGGCAACUGUUUAACAAAAACACAGGGCUGUGCGAACUCGAAAGAUGAAGUAUACAGCCUGACACCUGCCCGGUGCUGGAAGGUUAAGAGGAGAUGUCACACAUUCGUGGAAGCAUUGAAUUGAAGCCCCAGUAAACGGCGGCCGUAACUAUAACGGUCCUAAGGUAGCGAAAUUCCUUGUCGGGUAAGUUCCGACCUGCACGAAUGGUGUAAUGAUCCGGACGCUGUCUCGACCAUGAUCUCAGUGAAAUUGUAGUAUCGGUGAAGAUGCCGAUUACCCGCGAUGGGACGAAAAGACCCCGUGAACCUUUACUACAGCUUAGCAUUGACCUCGGUCAUCCGAUGUGCAGGAUAGGCCGGAGGCUUUGAAUCGGGUGCGCCAGCAUUCGUGGAGCCGCCCUUGAAAUACGGCCCUUUGGCUGUCUGAGGUCUAACGCGCAGAUAGUGCGGACACUGCUUGGCGGGUAGUUUGACUGGGGUGGUCGCCUCCAAAAGCGUAACGGAGGCUUCCAAAGGUGCCCUCGGACCGAUCGGUAACCGGUCUCAUGGAGUGCAAUGGCAUAAGGGCGCUUGACUGGGAGGCAGACAUGCCGAGCAGGUGGGAAACCAGGGCAUAGUGAUCCGGCGGACGUGCAUGGAAACUCCGUCGCUCAAAGGAUAAAAGGUACUCCGGGGAUAACAGGCUGAUCCCCCCCAAGAGCUCAUAUCGACGGGGUGGUUUGGCACCUCGAUGUCGGCUCGUCACAUCCUGGGGCUGGAGAAGGUCCCAAGGGUUGGGCUGUUCGCCCAUUAAAGUGGCACGCGAGCUGGGUUCAGAACGUCGUGAGACAGUUCGGUCUCUAUCUAUCGUGGGCGCUGGAGUUUUGCGCGGUGCCGUCACUAGUACGAGAGGACCGUGACGGACAGACCUCCGGUCAGCCGGUUGUGCCGCCAGGUGCACCGCCGGGUAUCUGAGUCUGGAACGGAUAAGCGCUGAAAGCAUCUAAGCGCGAAGCCGGCCGCAAGAUGAGAACUCCUCACGAGGGCCGUCACAGACGAUGACGUUGAUAGGGUGCAGGUGUAAAGACGGCGACGUCAAAGCCGAGCACUACUAAUUGCCCGAAACUUUCUUCG